AACAACCUACGGGAGGCAGCAGUGGGGAAUAUUGGGCAAUGGGCGCAAGCCUGACCCAGCAACGCCGCGUGAAGGAAGAAGGCUUUCGGGUUGUAAACUUCUUUUCUGAGGGACGAAGAAAGUGACGGUACCUCAGGAAUAAGCCACGGCUAACUACGUGCCAGCAGCCGCGGUAAUACGGAGGAUGCGAGCGUUAUCCGGAUUUAUUGGGUUUAAAGGGUGCGUAGGCGGGCUGCCAAGUCAGCGGUAAAAUUGCGGGGCUCAACCCCGUCGAGCCGUUGAAACUGGCGG
Molecule: ribosomal RNA, 291 nt
Filed under: uncultured bacterium
Lineage: Bacteria
Description: partial 16S ribosomal RNA
Rfam family: Bacterial small subunit ribosomal RNA
Source: RNAcentral